UACGGAAGGCAGCAGUGGGGAAUAUUGCACAAUGGGCGAAAGCCUGAUGCAGCUAUGCCGCGUGUAUGAAGAAGGCCUUAGGGUUGUAAAGUACUUUCAUCGGGGAGGAAAAAACAAAACUAAUAAUUUUAUUUCUUGACGUUACCCGAAAAAGAAGCACCGACUAACUCCGUGCCAGCAGCCGCGGUAAUACGGAGGGUGCUAGCGUUAAUCAGAAUUACUGGGCGUAAAGAGCACGUAGGUGGUUUUUUUAAAGUCAGAUGUGAAGUCCCUGGGCUUAACCUAGGAACUGCAUUUUGAAACUGAAAUACUAGAGUAUCGUAGAGGGAGGUAGAAUUCUAGGUGUAGCGGUGAAAUGCGUAGAUAUCUGGAGGAAUACCUGUGGCGAAAGCGGCCUCCUAAACGAAUACUGACACUGAGGUGCGAAAGCGUGGGGAGCAAACAGGGAUUAGAUACC
RNAcentral lists this ribosomal RNA (457 nucleotides) under uncultured bacterium. RNAcentral describes it as "bacterial SSU rRNA". It matches the Rfam family "Bacterial small subunit ribosomal RNA", at positions 340 to 786 of the family's 1533-position model. The record is from RNAcentral.